RNAcentral lists this long non-coding RNA (553 nucleotides) under Homo sapiens (human). RNAcentral's name for it is "HSALNT0040433". Lineage: Eukaryota; Metazoa; Chordata; Mammalia; Primates; Hominidae. The record is from RNAcentral.
CAUUUGGCAGGCUACCCCAGACCCAUGUGGAGCAGAGGAACACUGGUGGCAUGGAGGGAGUGCAAGACCCUGAAGAGAAUAUGCUGAGGUCCUGAAGUGUGCAGCUGGGGCUUAAUGAGCUAGGUAAAACUGACAUUCCAUAAAAGAAAUGAGUAGUUCAGCCUGAAACUCAAAUAAUUGCACAAGUAUUUUUCUUCAAGAUAAUCAUCAUACUUUGUUACAGAGCAGAAAUACAGCUCUUCCUGCUUCCUUCUCAUCUUAUCACCCAGAAUAUUUGUCAUAGUUAAUUAUAUGUGUCUACUUGAAGGGUGUUUUUGGAUGACUCCACUCUCCCUCAUCUCUUCUGGAAAAUAAAAGGAAUCAGAAAUUUCUAGAAGCCAAGAACCAAAUGAACGAAGUCAAAAUUAUGCCCUAAGGCAAGCCUUCCCCUCCAUGCUUAGAGCUAGCUCAAGGGGUGUGAAUGCCUCUACAGAUCCAGUUUCUUGGUGCCACAGAAGGGUCAGCAUUGACUCUUACCCUGCUCAAUUUGCUUCAACCCAGUGGGGCCUUGUUA